UGAUGAGACGUCUCCGGAAUCGCUGUACUGCGUUGAUGAUUCCCUUGAACCCUUGUCUGUCUGAUGGCUGCGGCAGUUCCAGC
RNAcentral lists this small nucleolar RNA (83 nucleotides) under Callipepla squamata (scaled quail). RNAcentral's name for it is "Small nucleolar RNA MBII-202". It matches the Rfam family "Small nucleolar RNA MBII-202". From Rfam's summary of the family: MBII-202 is a member of the C/D class of snoRNA which contain the C (UGAUGA) and D (CUGA) box motifs. Most of the members of the box C/D family function in directing site-specific 2'-O-methylation of substrate RNAs. Lineage: Eukaryota; Metazoa; Chordata; Aves; Galliformes; Odontophoridae. The record is from Rfam by way of RNAcentral.